AAACCUCACCACCAACACCCAAAGCUGGAAUUCUACUUAAACUAUUCCUUG
RNAcentral lists this transfer RNA (51 nucleotides) under Stenella coeruleoalba (striped dolphin). Its description in RNAcentral is "partial tRNA-Pro". Lineage: Eukaryota; Metazoa; Chordata; Mammalia; Artiodactyla; Delphinidae. The record is from RNAcentral.